RNAcentral lists this ribosomal RNA (1431 nucleotides) under Vibrio sp. 2974. RNAcentral describes it as "bacterial SSU rRNA". It matches the Rfam family "Bacterial small subunit ribosomal RNA". The record is from RNAcentral. Lineage: Bacteria; Pseudomonadati; Pseudomonadota; Gammaproteobacteria; Vibrionales; Vibrionaceae.
ACACAUGCAGUCGAGCGGAAACGAGUUAACUGAACCUUCGGGGAACGUUAACGGCGUCGAGCGGCGGACGGGUGAGUAAUGCCUAGGAAAUUGCCCUGAUGUGGGGGAUAACCAUUGGAAACGAUGGCUAAUACCGCAUAAUGCCUUCGGGCCAAAGAGGGGGACCUUCGGGCCUCUCGCGUCAGGAUAUGCCUAGGUGGGAUUAGCUAGUUGGUGAGGUAAGGGCUCACCAAGGCGACGAUCCCUAGCUGGUCUGAGAGGAUGAUCAGCCACACUGGAACUGAGACACGGUCCAGACUCCUACGGGAGGCAGCAGUGGGGAAUAUUGCACAAUGGGCGCAAGCCUGAUGCAGCCAUGCCGCGUGUAUGAAGAAGGCCUUCGGGUUGUAAAGUACUUUCAGCAGUGAGGAAGGUGGUGUAGUUAAUAACUGCAUCAUUUGACGUUAGCUGCAGAAGAAGCACCGGCUAACUCCGUGCCAGCAGCCGCGGUAAUACGGAGGGUGCGAGCGUUAAUCGGAAUUACUGGGCGUAAAGCGCAUGCAGGUGGUUUGUUAAGUCAGAUGUGAAAGCCCGGGGCUCAACCUCGGAAUUGCAUUUGAAACUGGCAGACUAGAGUACUGUAGAGGGGGGUAGAAUUUCAGGUGUAGCGGUGAAAUGCGUAGAGAUCUGAAGGAAUACCGGUGGCGAAGGCGGCCCCCUGGACAGAUACUGACACUCAGAUGCGAAAGCGUGGGGAGCAAACAGGAUUAGAUACCCUGGUAGUCCACGCCGUAAACGAUGUCUACUUGGAGGUUGUGGCCUUGAGCCGUGGCUUUCGGAGCUAACGCGUUAAGUAGACCGCCUGGGGAGUACGGUCGCAAGAUUAAAACUCAAAUGAAUUGACGGGGGCCCGCACAAGCGGUGGAGCAUGUGGUUUAAUUCGAUGCAACGCGAAGAACCUUACCUACUCUUGACAUCCAGAGAAGCCAGUAGAGAUACAGGUGUGCCUUCGGGAACUCUGAGACAGGUGCUGCAUGGCUGUCGUCAGCUCGUGUUGUGAAAUGUUGGGUUAAGUCCCGCAACGAGCGCAACCCUUAUCCUUGUUUGCCAGCGAGUAAUGUCGGGAACUCCAGGGAGACUGCCGGUGAUAAACCGGAGGAAGGUGGGGACGACGUCAAGUCAUCAUGGCCCUUACGAGUAGGGCUACACACGUGCUACAAUGGCGCAUACAGAGGGCAGCAAGCUAGCGAUAGUGAGCGAAUCCCAAAAAGUGCGUCGUAGUCCGGAUUGGAGUCUGCAACUCGACUCCAUGAAGUCGGAAUCGCUAGUAAUCGUGGAUCAGAAUGCCACGGUGAAUACGUUCCCGGGCCUUGUACACACCGCCCGUCACACCAUGGGAGUGGGCUGCAAAAGAAGUAGGUAGUUUAACUUCGGGAGAACGCUUACCACUUU